This 478-nucleotide ribosomal RNA is filed under the name uncultured bacterium. RNAcentral describes it as "partial 16S ribosomal RNA". It matches the Rfam family "Bacterial small subunit ribosomal RNA", at positions 28 to 507 of the family's 1533-position model. The record is from RNAcentral.
GAUGAACGCUGGCGGCGUGCUUAACACAUGCAAGUCGAACGGGAAACCUUUUAUUGAAGCUUCGGCAGAUUUAGCUGGUUUCUAGUGGCGGACGGGUGAGUAACGCGUGGGUAACCUGCCUUAUACAGGGGGAUAACAACCAGAAAUGGUUGCUAAUACCGCAUAAGCGCACAGGACCGCAUGGUCCGGUGUGAAAAACUCCGGUGGUAUAAGAUGGACCCGCGUUGGAUUAGCUAGUUGGCAGGGUAACGGCCUACCAAGGCGACGAUCCAUAGCCGGCCUGAGAGGGUGAACGGCCACAUUGGGACUGAGACACGGCCCAGACUCCUACGGGAGGCAGCAGUGGGGAAUAUUGCACAAUGGGGGAAACCCUGAUGCAGCGACGCCGCGUGAAGGAAGAAGUAUCUCGGUAUGUAAACUUCUACCAGCAGGGAAGAUAGUGACGGUACCUGACUAAGAAGCCCCGGCUAACUACGUG